CGCGGCCGGCUGGGCUCGGGGAGCUGCUGCGGCCGCCGCCGCCGCGCCGCUGUCUGUGGUAGCAUCUCAGCUUACACGCUGCUUUAAAGCCCUGCGGCCGGCACCGCGCGCCCGCUGACGCCGCCCCAGCCUUGCCCGCCGUAGCGCGGCGGCCCUGCCCGCGUCGCAGUACGAGCGGGCGGGCGGGCGGGGAGAGGCGGGAGGCGGGGGGUACCCGGGGCGGGGCGGCCGCAGAGCUUCAGGGCUCGCCUCAGGGCGCGAGCUCCCCUCAGGACAGCGGCGUGCGGGCAGCGGUCGUGAAAUGGCGGUUGGCCCCUUCCCUCCCUCUUUUCCCUCAAAACUGAAGGAGAGGUCUCUGAUUCUCCACAAAGAGAAAAGGAAAAACAUCUGUCAGUUUGGUAAUAUUUUAGGGAGGUGCUGCUGUUCCAAAAGGCUGUCCUUCGACUUACUGCAGAUUCUCACAUCUUGGCAUGCUGUCCCUGUCACUUCGAGUAAAAUCCAUGCUGCAGCCAUUUUUGGAUUUUGCCAAGGUAGUAAACAAAACCCAAAGGGUUCUCAGCAAAACAUUGUCUUAAAUCUCUUCCUGUCUUCCUGAUACUCAAACAAAGAAGCUGUCCUCUGAUUGUGAUAGUAUGAUGACACUCCAGCUUAAGGCUUAUCGAUAGAAAAGAUAUGUUCCUGGAUUGCUUGUGUACUAAGAAACAAAACAUGUUAUGCCUUACAUGCACACAAAAAGCACACCAGUUCAUACAGCAGAUAGAUAUAUUUAAUGUGUUUUGGGGGCAGAUCACUAAUUACAGCAGGACAGACUUUAGAUUUCAUGUGAAAGCUGAUUUUAAAGUACAGAACUAUAAAAAGAAACUUUAACUCCUAUUACUGCUUUGGAAGCUUAAACUGGAUGAACUGAUUAAAAAAAAUAGCGUGGCUAAAGCAUUUAACAAUGGAAACUUGUACCUCACUCUGCAAUGGUUGGUUGUCCCAGCCAAAAUGGAGUUUAAAGCAGAAAUGGUAACAGAUCCUGCACUAUCAAAGGUAGCAGCCAGUGCUUAGAUAUUAAAGCAAGUCCAAUACAGAGCCAAAGUAAAAAAAAAUUACAAUUGGGAAGGUCAAGGUACAGUUGAACAUACCACGUUUCUUCCUUUCUUGUCCAUGGUAAGUACCUAGGAGGCAGUUCAACCAAGUAGUUAGGCUGUGGUAAGAACAAAGCUGUUGUACAGAGUGGGAUUUCUUUUUUUACCCACUGGGGGAACAAAUUCUUCAUUGGGCAUGUUGUAGUCCUUACACUGAAAGACAAGUAUGAAGCUCCACUAGUCCUUAGGCUGUGCUACUUCAGAGCAGUGCUGGAGCUGCCCAGUUAACUGUGCAGAAGGAUUCUUUUCCCUUUGCAGGACACCUGACUUAUCCUUUUGUUCUGGCCAGCCUUGAGGAACUGCAUAUGCCGUUUAAUACCUAACACUGGUGUUUUUAUGCAUAUGGCAGAAGGCUGUAUACUAUGUUCAAUUUUGUAUUUACCUGUCAGUAUACAUUCACACUUGUGUCAUGUACCUUUCUUGUUUCAGUGAGAAUCUUAAGCCAAAACAUGUAUUUAAAGUGCUCUUCAGGCCAAGGCAGAUGGCACCAUUUUUGUCUUACAUAGUAAAUGGAGAAUGGUUAGGGCAGAAUCUCUCCUAGAACCUAGAAGAAAUACAAAACUUUAAUUACUCUCGCCUGAUUUACCACAUGGCCACAACAUGUCAAUUGCAAUGAUAUUAUGGAUUAUGUGUCAUUAACUUGUUUUUGUUCAGAUUUUCAUGCUAUUUAGGGCAUGCUCUGUCAUGAAUCUUUAGAAAUCAUCUUUUUAUGUUGAUUCUUUUGUUUGGCACACUGCCACCUAGCUGCAGUCUUCCCUCAUCAGUUCUGAAGUUACGCUAGAAGCAAGAUGAAACAUUUGACAAGUGAGGUUUACUUGGAUUCACCUGAAAUAUUCUUCGGUAGAGAAACUGCUGAUGGGAAGAAGGGACAAAAAUAGAAAAAUAGUAUUGUUAUUACAAAUCAUACAGUGACAGUAGACUCAGUACAAUUUUGAAGCAAGUUGUGAUGUGCUGACAUGAUUUUCUCUCUGAAAAAAAAUUGAUUGCAAAGCACACACAUGAAGUGGAAAAGUCAUAUUUGUCCAGGCACAUUUUAAUAGGUAGUGAUUUGGGAAAAUAAAUGAGGAAGAAAUGUAAAUACA
This 2212-nucleotide long non-coding RNA is filed under the name Numida meleagris (helmeted guineafowl). RNAcentral's name for it is "lncRNA (ENSNMEG00000001789.1)". The record is from RNAcentral. Lineage: Eukaryota; Metazoa; Chordata; Aves; Galliformes; Numididae.